UACGUAGGGGGCGAGCGUUGUCCGGAUUUAUUGGGCGUAAAGAGCUCGUAGGCGGCUGUUCGAGUCGGGUGUGAAACCCCAGGGCUUAACUCUGGGCCUGCAUUCGAUACUGGGCGGCUUGAGUCUGGUAGGGGGAUCUGGAAUUCCUGGUGUAGCGGUGGAAUGCGCAGAUAUCAGGAGGAACACCGGUGGCGAAGGCGGGAUCCUGGGCCAGUACUGACGCUGAGGAGCGAAAGCGUGGGGAGCGAACAGG
This 253-nucleotide ribosomal RNA is filed under the name uncultured bacterium. RNAcentral describes it as "partial 16S ribosomal RNA". It matches the Rfam family "Bacterial small subunit ribosomal RNA", at positions 524 to 776 of the family's 1533-position model. The record is from RNAcentral.